Phrynosoma platyrhinos (Desert horned lizard) is the source of this 64-nucleotide non-coding RNA. The record is from the annotation of a GenBank genome assembly. Lineage: Eukaryota; Metazoa; Chordata; Lepidosauria; Squamata; Phrynosomatidae.
GCCUGGUGUAGUGGUUUGAGUGUUGGACUAUGACUCUGAAGACCAGGGCUCAAUUCCCUGGUCA